AGUGAACGCUGGCGGUAGGCCUAACACAUGCAAGUCGUACGGCAGCACAGUAAGAGCUUGCUCUUACGGGUGGCGAGUGGCGGACGGGUGAGGAAUACAUCGGAAUCUACUUUUUCGUGGGGGAUAACGUAGGGAAACUUACGCUAAUACCGCAUACGACCUACGGGUGAAAGCAGGGGCUCUUCGGACCUUGCGCGAUUGAAUGAGCCGAUGUCGGAUUAGCUAGUUGGCGGGGUAAAGGCCCACCAAGGCGACGACCCGUAGCUGGUCUGAGAGGAUGAGCAGCCACACGGGAACUGAGACACGGUCCAGACUCCUGCGGGAGGCAGCAGUGGUGAAUAUUGGACAAGGGGCGCAAGCCUGAUCCAGCCAUACCGCGUGAGUGAAGAAGGCCUUCGGGUUGUAAAGCCCUUUUGUGGGGAAAGAAGAGCAGCAGGUUAAGACCCCGCUGUUCUGACGGUACCCAAAGAAUAAGCACCGGCUAACUUCGU
This 491-nucleotide ribosomal RNA is filed under the name uncultured bacterium. RNAcentral's name for it is "partial 16S ribosomal RNA". It matches the Rfam family "Bacterial small subunit ribosomal RNA", at positions 29 to 506 of the family's 1533-position model. The record is from RNAcentral.